GACCAGACUCCUACGGGAGGCAGCAGUGGGGAAUAUUGCACAAUGGGGGGAACCCUGAUGCAGCGACGCCGCGUGGGUGAAGGAGUAUUUCGGUAUGUAAAGCCCUAUCAGCAGGGAAGAACAAUGACGGUACCUGACUAAGAAGCACCGGCUAAAUACGUGCCAGCAGCCGCGGUAAUACGUAUGGUGCAAGCGUUAUCCGGAUUUACUGGGGGUGAAGGGGGCGCAGACGGCGAUGCAAGCCAGGAGUGAAAGGCGGGGGCCCAACCCCGGGGCUGCUCUUGGAACUGGGUGGCUGGAGUGGAGGAGGAGCAGGCGGAAUUCCUGGUGUAGCGGUGAAAUGCGUAGAUAUCAGGAGGAACACCGGUGGCGAAGGCGGCCUGCUGGAGUGCAACUGACGUUGAGGCCCGAAAGCGUGGGGAGCAAACAGGAUUAGAUCCCCUGGUA
RNAcentral lists this ribosomal RNA (447 nucleotides) under uncultured bacterium. RNAcentral's name for it is "bacterial SSU rRNA". It matches the Rfam family "Bacterial small subunit ribosomal RNA", at positions 329 to 792 of the family's 1533-position model. The record is from RNAcentral.